This 95-nucleotide transfer RNA is filed under the name Burkholderia cenocepacia. RNAcentral describes it as "tRNA-Gly(tcc)". Lineage: Bacteria; Pseudomonadati; Pseudomonadota; Betaproteobacteria; Burkholderiales; Burkholderiaceae. The record is from RNAcentral.
ACGAGCGCCUGGUCGAUGCGGCCGGCGAUCGGCGCUUCCACCGUCGCGAACUUCAGGUCGAGCUGGCGGCGCGCGAGCGUCGCGCGGGCCUGCGC